GCAGGGGUGCCGGAGUGGUCAAACGGGCUGGAUUUAGGCUCCAGUAGCAACUGCUUGCGCAGGUUCGAAUCCUGUCCCUUGCA
RNAcentral lists this transfer RNA (83 nucleotides) under archaeon. Its description in RNAcentral is "tRNA-Leu". It matches the Rfam family "tRNA". From Rfam's summary of the family: Transfer RNA (tRNA) molecules are approximately 80 nucleotides in length. The record is from RNAcentral.